Molecule: ribosomal RNA, 356 nt
Filed under: uncultured soil bacterium
Lineage: Bacteria
Description: bacterial SSU rRNA
Rfam family: Bacterial small subunit ribosomal RNA
Source: RNAcentral
AGAUUGAACGCUGGCGGCAGGCCUAACACAUGCAAGUCGAGCGGUAGAGAGGUGCUUGCAUCUCUUGAGAGCGGCGGACGGGUGAGUAAUGCCUAGGAAUCUGCCUAGUGGUGGGGGAUAACGUUCGGAAACGGACGCUAAUACCGCAUACGUCCUACGGGAGAAAGCGGGGGACCUUCGGGCCUCGCGCCAUUAGAUGAGCCUAGGUCGGAUUAGCUAGUUGGUGAGGUAAUGGCUCACCAAGGCGACGAUCCGUAACUGGUCUGAGAGGAUGAUCAGUCACACUGGAACUGAGACACGGUCCAGACUCCUACGGGAGCAGCAGUGGGGAAUAUUGCACAAGUGGGACGAAAGCC